CAAAAUAGUGAUAUGGAGCAAAACCCUAAAAACGAUCUCAGUUCGGAUUGAAGGCUGAAAUUCGCCUUCAUGAAGCUGGAAUUGCUAGUAAUGGCAGGUCAGCAUACUGCCGUGAAUACGUUCCCGGGCCUUGUACACACCGCCCGUCACACCAUGAGAGUUGGGAAUACCCGAAGCCUGUGAGCUAACUGUAAGGAGGCAGCAGUCGAAGGUAGAAUCAAUGAUUGGGGUGAAGUCGUAACAAGGUACC
This 250-nucleotide ribosomal RNA is filed under the name uncultured bacterium. Its description in RNAcentral is "partial 16S ribosomal RNA". It matches the Rfam family "Bacterial small subunit ribosomal RNA", at positions 1250 to 1500 of the family's 1533-position model. The record is from RNAcentral.